This 290-nucleotide long non-coding RNA is filed under the name Phoenix dactylifera (date palm). RNAcentral's name for it is "long non-coding RNA (PDAC_LNC010295)". The record is from RNAcentral. Lineage: Eukaryota; Viridiplantae; Streptophyta; Magnoliopsida; Arecales; Arecaceae.
GUCUGUUGCCCAGAUAGACAACCCAAGAGGGGGGGGUGAAUUGGGUUUUAAAAUAAUUUGAAUAAUUAAAACGAUGUGGUUGACUAAUUAAAAACUAUUGCAAGUUAUUUAAUUAAUGCUAAGUGCUGUGAGUGAUGUGAGGGGAAGAAGAAGAGAGACAAUCCAACACAAACACAAGGUUUUAUAGUGGUUCGGAGCUAACCCUUGCUCCUACGUCCACUCCCCAAGUCUCACUUGGGAAUUCACUAUAACCCCCUUGGAUUACAGCCGGUUGUUUUCCAAGCUCACNN